This 253-nucleotide ribosomal RNA is filed under the name uncultured bacterium. RNAcentral's name for it is "partial 16S ribosomal RNA". It matches the Rfam family "Bacterial small subunit ribosomal RNA", at positions 524 to 776 of the family's 1533-position model. The record is from RNAcentral.
GACGUAGGGCGCGAGCGUUGUCCGGAUUUAUUGGGCGUAAAGAGCUCGUAGGCGGCUUGUCGCGUCGACUGUGAAAACCCGCGGCUCAACUGCGGGCCUGCAGUCGAUACGGGCAGGCUAGAGUUCGGUAGGGGAGACUGGAAUUCCUGGUGUAGCGGUGAAAUGCGCAGAUAUCAAGUGGAACACCAGUGGCGAAGGCGAGUCCCUGGACACUUCCUGACACUGAGGCACGAAAGCUAGGGGAGCAAACAGG